RNAcentral lists this ribosomal RNA (373 nucleotides) under uncultured eukaryote. RNAcentral describes it as "partial 18S ribosomal RNA". It matches the Rfam family "Eukaryotic small subunit ribosomal RNA", at positions 592 to 976 of the family's 1831-position model. The record is from RNAcentral.
CAAUAGCGUAUAUUAAAGUUGUUGCAGUUAAAAAGCUCGUAGUUGAAUUUUUGCUUGCCGCCGAUGUCGGAACUUCCGUACGUUCGGCGGCGUGCAUCCUUGGGUGGAACCUGUGUGGCAUUAGGUUGUCGUGCAGGGGAUGCUCAUCGUUUACUGUGAAAAAAUUAGAGUGUUCAAAGCAGGCUUACGCCGUUGAAUAUAUUAGCAUGGAAUAAUAAGAUAGGACCUUGGUACUAUUUUGUUGGUUUGCGCGCCGAGGUAAUGAUUAACAGGGACAGUUGGGGGUAUUCGUAUUCCAUUGUCAGAGGUGAAAUUCUUGGAUUUCUGGAAGACGAACUACUGCGAAAGCAUUUACCAAGGAUGUUUUCAUUAA